This is a long non-coding RNA of Alexandromys fortis (reed vole), 854 nucleotides long. RefSeq lists it as uncharacterized. The record is from RefSeq and is a predicted model, not a curated record. The transcript has 3 exons. Lineage: Eukaryota; Metazoa; Chordata; Mammalia; Rodentia; Cricetidae.
GCAGAUCUAAAUUUUGAUCUGCUAUGCGACAUCUCACAGGACGUUUGGAAAAAAGAAAUUCUUAAGGACACAAGCAAGUGUUUCUAGGACUCAAGGCAUAUACAGACAUGAACACAUCCAUCCGCUGGCACACAAGGCACUGUUACAGCAACCGGGACAAGGCCUUCACCAGGGACUGGAAGCGGCUGUCACUCAAAGCUCUGACAGAAUGAGAACAUGCCAAUAUGGCGACCAGUGACAUCAUCUCAUGACAAAAUAGGAAGACGCUUGUGGUUCUUGAAUGUCAACUACAGACCGGGUGCUACUCAGUUGAGAACCUCCCCAAACACCUCGCCGUUGUCACUUUAUAGACAAGGUGCCCUGUAUGACGCAGAUCCAUCUGACUCCCUUCAUCGUCUGUUGCCCUUCAAGGAUGGACCAUAACAGCAUUCCCUAAACAAAAUCCCAGGGAUGCCAAAGCCCAGAGGAGAUGUCUGAGGUCCUGGCCUUUGUUCUCCUUAGAGGUCCCAGGAACAAAGCGGCGUUCCGCUUCACCUGGGUGUCAACUACAGAAUCAUUGGGUAUGUAGUCACAGAGGGUGGGAUGGGGACUGCCCGGGAUGGGGAGAUGCGGGAAGGCACAAGUCAGCACUGAGAUCGAGCACACAGCAUGCCAACUAGAAUUAAUACUGUGUGGCGGGCUGGGGUGUUGCUCGACUAGCAGAGUGCUUACCUGGUGUGCAUGAAGCCCAAGGUUUGAUCCCCAGUACUGCAUAAACCAGGUGUGAAAGUACACCCCUAUAACCCCAGAACUUGAUGGUAGGGGUAGGAGGACCAGAAGCCUUAGCUACAUAUUUCAAGGCCAUCCUAGGCUAA